CGCUGCGCUGGCUGCGGGACGACCGACCGCUGGAGGAUAGCGUCAGGCUCCUGGUCCGUCAUUGGACCAGUGCCGAAAACGUUUCCCGGUCUAGUCUACGGCUUCUGGAAGCGGUGCCACCGGACUCCGGCCUUUUCGGUUGCCAGGCGACCAAUGCGCGCGGCAGUGCACGGCUUACCAUCCGUCUGGAGAUCGAAGAAACGCCGCUACCGCCCAGUGGACUGCAGGUGGUGGAGGUCCACAGCCGUUCCGUCACGGUGGAGUGGAAUCCCCCAGCCAAAGUCAGCCGACACUUGUCCGGAUACCGGCUGGAGUACAAGGAGC
Molecule: long non-coding RNA, 324 nt
Organism: Pollicipes pollicipes
Lineage: Eukaryota; Metazoa; Arthropoda; Thecostraca; Pollicipedomorpha; Pollicipedidae
Exons: 3
Source: RefSeq, a predicted model, not a curated record